UAGGGAAUCUUCGGCAAUGGACGAAAGUCUGACCGAGCAACGCCGCGUGAGUGAAGAAGGUUUUCGGAUCGUAAAACUCUGUUGUUAGAGAAGAACAAGGACGUUAGUAACUGAACGUCCCCUGACGGUAUCUAACCAGAAAGCCACGGCUAACUACGUGCCAGCAGCCGCGGUAAUACGUAGGUGGCAAGCGUUGUCCGGAUUUAUUGGGCGUAAAGCGAGCGCAGGCGGUUUCUUAAGUCUGAUGUGAAAGCCCCCGGCUCAACCGGGGAGGGUCAUUGGAAACUGGGGGGCUUGAGUGCAGAAGAGGAGAGUGGAAUUCCAUGUGUAGCGGUGAAAUGCGUAGAUAUAUGGGGGAACACCAGGGGCGAAGGCGGCUCUCUGGUCUGUAACUGACGCUGAGGCUCGAAAGCGUGGGGAGCAAACAGG
RNAcentral lists this ribosomal RNA (429 nucleotides) under Gemmatimonadota bacterium. Its description in RNAcentral is "Gemmatimonadetes bacterium partial 16S ribosomal RNA". It matches the Rfam family "Bacterial small subunit ribosomal RNA", at positions 355 to 776 of the family's 1533-position model. Lineage: Bacteria; Pseudomonadati; Gemmatimonadota. The record is from RNAcentral.